GUAACGCCACAACUAAAUUGUCUAGAAUAUUUAGUCGAGACAUAUAUAAUUGAAUCUGAGUACAUUAAAAUUACAGAAUAAUUACUUGAAUUCUACAAUAUCACGAUAAUAAUGUGAUAAUCCAGUAAAAUACAACGGAAGGGAAUUAAAUUCUAACUUAACAGAUUAACAUAAAAACAAAGAAGAAGACGAUAUUCUUCUAAUCUGAUAAUCCAAGCUCUACCUCGAUCAUCAGUUCCUACCUGGUCCUUGCUCCGGUUAACCUGUUUACCUAAAAAAAAAUUGAUAGUCGUGGGAUGAGACUACUAAGCCUCAGUGAGCUCCUACUACCCAACUACUGGUGACUACACCGGGGCAACUUAAACUAAUAGUUUUUAACUUUAACCUGAACCUGAAUAUCUAAUAGUCUAAUCCUGACAUAAUCCUGAAGUUUUCAUAAUAUGAUAAUAAAGCAAUAAAGAUGUAACACACAUAAUAAUUAUCUUGUCGAUUUUAUCAUAACAGGAUCACCCCGGGGUAAGCCGGUCCCGGAGUGCCUGGCCUGGUAUUACCGAUAAUAAUGUACGUCGGAAUACAACAUGAGCUUACAGUUCUUAUUACAUGAUUUUGGAUUCUGAAUGAAUCCCCUGACAUGGUACUAAUGACCACGCUUCCUGAUAUUGGUUCUAAUGACCAAACAUCCUGAUAAAUUCUGAAACAUAAUUCCUAAUCCUGAAUGGUUAUCCUACCCAAAAGAAAGAAAACCUUCCCGGGGUAAUUCUAACUGUCCUAUUUCCUGAACCUAAGUUCCUGAGCGUGAUAAACAUUCUAAUCACAUAAUAUUAUUACGCUGUUUACGAAAUAUUCCAGAAUAGUCAGGGACAUAAAACGAGUGGAUUUUUAUUUAAAAUGUUGAUUCUACAAAGUCUUGAUCUGAUACGCUCGCUUAGCGAAGCAAGAUGUUCGCUAUGCGAGAAUACUAGUUCAAUUCUCGGCUUUUUACUUUUAAAAGAGUUUAUCAGUUUCCACCUACAAUCUCAUUCAUGUCCAGUCAUAAGCAACUAAAAUAUUAUUAUAUAAUUAGAAUGGAGAUGGAUUUGGGAUUAAACCUUCUCACACAAUUAUUUCCUAAUUUUCCUAUUGUUGUCAUGCAUAAUUUUGGGGAGACUAAUUUCCU
Molecule: long non-coding RNA, 1156 nt
Filed under: Trifolium pratense (red clover)
Lineage: Eukaryota; Viridiplantae; Streptophyta; Magnoliopsida; Fabales; Fabaceae
Description: long non-coding RNA (TPRA_LNC004703)
Source: RNAcentral